This 277-nucleotide long non-coding RNA is filed under the name Nicotiana benthamiana. Its description in RNAcentral is "long non-coding RNA (NBEN_LNC007684)". The record is from RNAcentral. Lineage: Eukaryota; Viridiplantae; Streptophyta; Magnoliopsida; Solanales; Solanaceae.
UUCAGAUGCACAUUCUCCCAUUAAAGAGUGAAACACCUUCAAGAAUUCCUGUUCCACAGAUAAAGGAUCAGUUAGUUUCAUUCCAGUUUCUGUAUAGAUGGAUGUAAUGUUGUUUUGUCCUGUUCUAAUCUUCCAUUGAGCAUGAACGUAUUUUGUAUUUGAGUCUCCACAUUCAAUCCAUGUAGCUUUUGACUUCUGCCUCAAUACUUUUUCUUCAAUAUUACUCCAUUUCUCAAGUUCCUCAAGUGCCUUCCUUUCCUUAUGGAUAAGUUCCUGU